This 514-nucleotide ribosomal RNA is filed under the name Amynthas sp. GD201116-20. RNAcentral's name for it is "partial 16S ribosomal RNA". It matches the Rfam family "Bacterial large subunit ribosomal RNA", at positions 1796 to 2607 of the family's 2925-position model. The record is from RNAcentral. Lineage: Eukaryota; Metazoa; Annelida; Clitellata; Crassiclitellata; Megascolecidae.
UCGCCCUGUUUUUCAAAAACAUUGUUCAAUGGAUCACAUAUUGAAUAGUACCUGCCCCGUGACAAAUGUUCAACGGCCGCGGUAUCCUAACCGUGCAAAGGUAGCAUAAUCACUUGCCUAUUAAUUGUAGGCUAGAAUGAAAGGGUUAACGAAAUAAAGACUGUCUCAAUUAAUUACCUAAAAAUUAUUAUCUACCUGAAGAAAAGUAGAUAAUCUCGACGGACAAGAAGACCCUAUAGAGCUUUAUUCUACUUAUAGAGCUAUACUAUAAAAGAAUUCGGUUGGGGCGACCACGGGAUAAAUAAUCACCCUCUACACAAAAGAUAUAUAAAUCAAACUAAAUGACCCUAAAAUGAUCAAAAGACCAAGCUACCUUAGGGAUAACAGGCUAAUCCCACUUAAGAGUCCAUAUCGACAGUGGGGGUUGGCACCUCGAUGUUGGCUUAGGAUAUCUAUAUAGCGCAAAAGUUAUAUAAAGAUGGUUUGUUCAACCAGUAAUAUCCUACGUGAUCUG